UAGUAUAAAUGGAUUUGACCUGCCGUAC
RNAcentral lists this non-coding RNA (28 nucleotides) under Bombyx mori (domestic silkworm). Lineage: Eukaryota; Metazoa; Arthropoda; Insecta; Lepidoptera; Bombycidae. The record is from RNAcentral.